Molecule: transfer RNA, 82 nt
Filed under: Actinomycetota bacterium
Lineage: Bacteria; Bacillati; Actinomycetota
Description: tRNA-Leu
Rfam family: tRNA
About the family: Transfer RNA (tRNA) molecules are approximately 80 nucleotides in length. Their secondary structure includes four short double-helical elements and three loops (D, anti-codon, and T loops).
Source: RNAcentral
GCGGGCGUGGCGGAACUGGCAGACGCGCCGGGUUUAGGUCCCGGUCCUGAAAGGGGUGGAGGUUCGAGUCCUCUCGUCCGCA